Molecule: ribosomal RNA, 853 nt
Filed under: Chalaropsis thielavioides
Lineage: Eukaryota; Fungi; Ascomycota; Sordariomycetes; Microascales; Ceratocystidaceae
Description: partial large subunit ribosomal RNA
Rfam family: Eukaryotic large subunit ribosomal RNA
Source: RNAcentral
CCCUAGUAACGGCGAGCGAAGCGGCAACAGCUCAAAUUUGAAAUCUGGCUACUUUGUAGUCCGAGUUGUAAUUUGUAGAGGAUGCUUUUGGUGAGGUGCCUUCCGAGUUCCCUGGAACGGGACGCCAGAGAGGGUGAGAGCCCCGUACGGUUGGAUACCAAACCUUUGUAUAGCUCCUUCAACGAGUCGAGUAGUUUGGGAAUGCUGCUCUAAAUGGGAGGUAUAUCUCUUCUAAAGCUAAAUAUAGGCUAGAGACCGAUAGCGCACAAGUAGAGUGAUCGAAAGAUGAAAAGCACUUUGAAAAGAGAGUUAAACAGCACGUGAAAUUGUUGAAAGGGAAGCGCCUAUGACCAGACUUGUUUCUUUCAGUUUUGUUAGUUCUCGGACUGAUUUACUCUGUUAGUACAGGCCAGCAUCAGUUUGUUGUCGGGGAGAAAGGCUUAGGGAAUGUGGCUCCUUCGGGAGUGUUAUAGCCCUUUGCAUAAUACCCUUCGGCAGACUGAGGACCGCGCUUCGGCAAGGAUGCUGGCGUAAUGGUCAUCAGCGACCCGUCUUGAAACACGGACCAAGGAGUCAACCUUAUGUGCGAGUGUUUGGGUGUAAAACCCCAGCGCGUAAUGAACGUGAACGUAGGUGAGAGCUUCGGCGCAUCAUCGACCGAUUCUGAUGUUCUCGGAUGGAUUUGAGUAAGAGCACACAGGGUUGGACCCGAAAGAAGGUGAACUAUGCUUGUAUAGGGUGAAGCCAGAGGAAACUCUGGUGGAGGCUCGCAGCGGUUCUGACGUGCAAAUCGAUCGUCAAAUAUGAGCAUGGGGGCGAAAGACUAAUCGAACCUUCUAGUAGCUGGUUCCAG